This 45-nucleotide non-coding RNA is filed under the name Schistosoma bovis. Lineage: Eukaryota; Metazoa; Platyhelminthes; Trematoda; Strigeidida; Schistosomatidae. RNAcentral also lists the same sequence under 1 other name. The record is from RNAcentral.
AUCCAGUUGACGAGUCUCAUAUAGGACGAAACAUGUGUCCUGGAU